GCUCGCCCGGUGUGGAUAUGCACUCAGAGUAACACCACAAAUAUCAUACUCACCUGAGUACACUACACCAACACAGAAAAAAUUCAAUUUCCUACCGUUGUUUGUGGUGCUACGUGUACGUCUCACUGUAACGUAAAUUGCAGGGCAGACGCAAGACGGUAGAGAUACCAAACCAUGUAUCACCUUGAACAGGAAGAGCAGAUCGAGCAGUUCAAGCCAGUAGGAAACUGGUAGUAUUCGAAGUGACAAUAGUCUUUCU
Molecule: non-coding RNA, 259 nt
Organism: Paramuricea clavata
Lineage: Eukaryota; Metazoa; Cnidaria; Anthozoa; Malacalcyonacea; Plexauridae
Source: the annotation of a GenBank genome assembly